Molecule: ribosomal RNA, 1458 nt
Filed under: Triticum aestivum (bread wheat)
Lineage: Eukaryota; Viridiplantae; Streptophyta; Magnoliopsida; Poales; Poaceae
Description: partial small subunit ribosomal RNA
Source: RNAcentral
AUGUCGAGCAAUGGCGGACCAACGGUCGCCGUCAAGCUAUUCGUCGACAAGGAGAAGAAGAGGGUGCUGUUCGCCGAGUCCGACAAGGACUUCGUGGACGUCCUCUUCAGCUUCCUCACGCUGCCUCUCGGCACCAUCGUCCGUCUCUUCAACAAGCAGUCUCAGAUCGGGUGCCUUGACGAGCUGUACAGGAGCGUGGAGAGCCUCGGCGAGGAUCACUUCCAAACCACGGCUUGCAAGGCCAUGCUCCUUCGUCCCGUCAAUGCCGCGGCGCUUCACUGCGACCGGCUUAAAGUCAAGGUUGACGACGCCGAUCUGACGGCAAUAUAUGUGUGCCUUCAGUCGGGCUGCUCGUGCUGCAGCCCACGGUACUUCAGCCCAGUCCGGGGUGUUACUUGCAGCUGUGGUGCUACCAUGAAUGGCACUAGGAGAUGGCCGCAAAGCUCUCUCGUUGCUGCUCAAGAAACUGCGGAUGGGAUUUUUUGCAAAGGUGGAUCGAAGUUCAUCAUCACUGACGAUCUCCAUGUUGCUCCUUCCACUACGAGUCUCAUGUUCUCCCUGAUGGACAAGCUUGGGCUCCAUGAAGAACUGGAUAUCAAGGAGGAGGUGCUACAUCUCAAUUCCAAUAAGAUAAUUAGCUUGCUUAGGAGAGCACUGCUGUCUAAGCACCCUUUGACUGGCCUAUAUUUCGAUGUUGCUAUAACGCGGGAUGGUGCGAGUUCUUACCAGCUUCCUCACAAUCUGUUUGCACCACAAGCAAUUGAGGCAGAGCUCAAGUUCAAACCAAUAACGAUAAAGCUUGUUCAGACAAAGGAUAAUUCCUCGGUGUUGUACGCAGAAGUUAAACAAGACUUGGUUGAUCUUUUCUUUGGCCUCCUUUGCAUUCCUGUUGGGUCUAUAUUGAAGACUUAUACUCAACUGUCACCAGAUGGAUGUCUUGAUAAUCUCUACAAAAGUGUAAAUGGAGCAGGAUGUGUAAAACAAGACUGCAGAAACUUACUCCUAUCCCCAAAGCUGGCCCCUUUCUUUGGGUGCAGCAGUAAUGUGCUCCAAGUAGAAGAAUUACCUCGGAGAUGCCAUAACUCUCCAAGUUAUCAUUACGAGAUGAAUCCAAAAUCCCCCAAAAGAGGAGAUGAAGAUUCUUAUAGGGCUUAUGUCAAUGGAGGGUCCAUCAACUUCAUCGUGACUGAUGAUCUGUGUAUCGUCAAUUUCUCCCUGGCCAAGAGUCUCCAAGCCAUACGUGCAGCCAAGAUUCCCAAGGGCAAGCUUGUGGAGAAAGAGCUAACGCUUGACAAAACCCAGGUAUCAGCAAGGCAAGAGAAGUACAUCUUUUUCUCCCCUUUUUCAGUUUUGUAUGUUCUCAACGGCUGUUUUUUCUGGCAACAGGUUUUGAAGCUACUAAGAGCUGUAAUGAUUACUCGCAAUGCUCUAAGCAGCGUGCUCUUACCACCAAUUUGA